UGCGCACGGUAAGCGGCGCACUGCCUUGUUCGAAGGACUUAGCAGGGACACGGCUAGCUGAAGCGGCGAGGACACACGCAGAGCUGUGACUGCUUUCGAUGGAUGGGAAUGUAUGCGAGCCCGCACAUGCGCUGCUUCCACUAGAGCCGACCCCCGCUAAUGGAAAAGGCAAGAAAGGUGGACUGUUGGCAGCGCCAAUGCCUCCGAAGGAUGCGAAUGCAUCACGGGAGCUGCCCCUCUGCUGCCCUAUGAUUGGCAUGUGUGAUGGUAAUGCUGUUCGUGUCCGGAACGAAGCGAAGGGUGGUCUCGUGCAACGUGCAGAGACGCCACGGUCGUUGCUCGUGUUCGCGCCGCCUCUACAGCGGAAGCACUGCUCUUGGCGAGGUUCAAGUUCACUCACCCUUCUGCGCAGUAAUUCAACACAGGGCACUCGCACUCGCGGUCCCUUCUGCCCUUCUCUUCCGAACCCUCCUGUGAUGAACUGCUUCUCUUUGAACUUUCAUAGAUCCUUUCGUGCUUCCUCUCGCCUUCGAAUACCCCUGCUAAG
Molecule: unclassified non-coding RNA, 547 nt
Filed under: Leishmania donovani
Lineage: Eukaryota; Euglenozoa; Kinetoplastea; Trypanosomatida; Trypanosomatidae
Description: gene:unknown
Source: RNAcentral